This 468-nucleotide ribosomal RNA is filed under the name uncultured bacterium. RNAcentral's name for it is "partial 16S ribosomal RNA". It matches the Rfam family "Bacterial small subunit ribosomal RNA", at positions 28 to 507 of the family's 1533-position model. The record is from RNAcentral.
GACGAACGCUGGCGGCGCGCUUAACACAUGCAAGUCGAACGGAAAGGCCUGGUUUUCGUGGGGUGCUCGGGGGACGAACGUGUCGAACGCGCGAGAAACACGUGCCUUAGCCUUUGCCAUAACUUCAGUAAGCCUGGGCUACUAGGGGUAAUUCGCGCCUGCUGCGUAGUGUGGUGUGGGUAGUGUCGGCGGUUGGUCUUGUAGUCGGGGCUUAUCAGUCUGUCGGUGGGGUAGUGGCUUAGCUAGGCUUUGACGGGUAGGCGGACUGAGAGGGUGACCGGCCACAUCGGGACUGAGAUACGGGCCAGACUGCUACGGGAGGCAGCAGUGGGGAAGAUUGAGCAAUGGGCGGCAGCCUGAUGCAGCAACGCCGCGUGCGGGAUGACGGCCUUCGGGUGGUAAACCGCUUUCGCCUGGGACGAAGCGUGAGUGACGGUAAUGGGUAAAGAAGCACCGGCUAACUACGUG